Molecule: ribosomal RNA, 546 nt
Filed under: Vibrio vulnificus
Lineage: Bacteria; Pseudomonadati; Pseudomonadota; Gammaproteobacteria; Vibrionales; Vibrionaceae
Description: bacterial SSU rRNA
Rfam family: Bacterial small subunit ribosomal RNA
Source: RNAcentral
CCAGCGGAGACGCAGGUGUGCCUUCGGGAACUCUGAGACAGGUGCUGCAUGGCUGUCGUCAGCUCGUGUUGUGAAAUGUUGGGUUAAGUCCCGCAACGAGCGCAACCCUUAUCCUUGUUUGCCAGCGAGUAAUGUCGGGAACUCCAGGGAGACUGCCGGUGAUAAACCGGAGGAAGGUGGGGACGACGUCAAGUCAUCAUGGCCCUUACGAGUAGGGCUACACACGUGCUACAAUGGCGCAUACAGAGGGCGGCCAACUUGCGAAAGUGAGCGAAUCCCAAAAAGUGCGUCGUAGUCCGGAUUGGAGUCUGCAACUCGACUCCAUGAAGUCGGAAUCGCUAGUAAUCGUGGAUCAGAAUGCCACGGUGAAUACGUUCCCGGGCCUUGUACACACCGCCCGUCACACCAUGGGAGUGGGCUGCAAAAGAAGUGGGUAGUUUAACCUUCGGGAGGACGCUCACCACUUUGUGGUUCAUGACUGGGGUGAAGUCGUAACAAGGUAGCGCUAGGGGAACCUGGCGCUGGAUCACCUCCUUAUACGAUGAU